UGUAGAAGAAGGCGCUCUGUUGAGAUGAGACCAAAAACGCAACUUUUUGGCCAGAAUGCAAAAUCUUACGAGUGAAGAAAAACAAAUGAGACGGAGGCAGUCAAAACCCAGUUGUGACUCGGAAAACUGAUUUCUACAGCGCUCUCCAGUGUAGGUGAGCUUCAGCACGGCUGGCUAAGAGGUGCAGCAGAGGUGAAUCGGUCUUAUCCGAAAUCCCGGUGCAGGACACAAAGAGGAUAUUGAAAGAAUCCCGACCCUCAGGCUUGUGCCGGCCUGAUCCGUGUGGUGCGGAGGGGGGGGGGGAGGAAAAAGGCGAGGAACCGAGAGUGAUGAGUUGGUUCCUCUGGUGUAUCUGUCUCUCUCCAGAGCAUCAUGUGGCAAAUUGCUCUUGGUGCAAAGGGUCUGUUAGAAUGCGACUUAGGAGAGCCAGAGAGAACUCAUUUGACCAUGCCGCUGACGCCUUCAAACCAAUAUCCUCAUCUUCGCAUUCUGUCUUUAUCUCCGCUGAUCGCCUCAAGCUUGUCUGACCUUGGAGAGCAGAUAAAACAGCAGACAGAUAAGGAAGAAGGGGCCAGCGAAGGACCAAACAGAGUAAAAUUGCAAAAAA
This is a long non-coding RNA of Poecilia latipinna (sailfin molly), 607 nucleotides long. RefSeq lists it as uncharacterized. The transcript is spliced from 4 exons. Lineage: Eukaryota; Metazoa; Chordata; Actinopteri; Cyprinodontiformes; Poeciliidae. The record is from RefSeq and is a predicted model, not a curated record.